Molecule: long non-coding RNA, 1260 nt
Filed under: Sus scrofa (pig)
Lineage: Eukaryota; Metazoa; Chordata; Mammalia; Artiodactyla; Suidae
Description: lncRNA (ENSSSCG00005034710.1)
Source: RNAcentral
AUGUCUGCCGUGGGGCAGGGAUGGCCAAAGUUACUCCGUGAGCAAACGACAGAGCUGAGGCCAGUGCUCCCACCUGGACCUCUGACCUCCUGGACCACCUGCUCGGCCUUGAGGGACAGCCCUGCCUGGCCCCUUCCUCUGGGCGGAAGCGGUCGGGUCCCUCCUCAUCCCGCCCUGCCUGCUCCGACUCACCUCUCACUUCUGGCCCUUGGGGGCUCAACCCUUGAAAGGAGAUGGGAAUCCAGCAAGGCCAGGGCCCCUGCCUGGGAGGCCUGUGCUCCUCCAGCCCCGGGGACAGCAAGGAAAAGAGAAGAGAGCAGAGCAUUUCAUGGCUAUAAUAAAUCAAAGGGGGAAGUCGGAGCAGGAGAAAUAAGAAACUUCCCUACCCUGGGCACGGGGACCUGCCAGGCGGCAGCCCCCGGCGCCCCACGGCCUUCCCUCCUCCCUUCUGCAUCCCUGGCUGGGGCCCAGAUCUGGUGCCCCCUCCCCAGGCCUGGGCACCCCACCUGCCCAGAGUUUCCCUGGGCAUCCUACCAUCCUUCUCGUGGUGCAAAACACCUUUCACCUCUGGGCCUCAGUUUCCUCCAAUUGGGCAUGGAAGUUCCUCAAGUCGUGUGCUCGUCUGGGGAGGUGAGGAGUCAGACUGCCCAGCAGGGCGGGCUGGAAGCAGCUGCUGCCCCUCUGGACAAGGACCCUCAGGGCAUGAAGGGAGGGGUGAUAUAGCCUGAGAAUUCCCAGUGGGACAGUAGGCCUGGGAUGACAAACGUCUAUGAGAGGAGACGGGAGGGCCAAAGCAAGAGGCAAGAGCAUGGGGCAGAGGUGGGGAGAGCCCUGGACUGUGAGAACUGGCAGGGCCUUGGCCUCGGCUCUAUCCCUGCACUUUCUUAAACCAGACCCAGGGACCCAGGGCCUGAAGUCCAUGUUGCAAGGCAGCAGAUAGACGCAGCCACUGGAGGCACCAUGGCAUGUCUUCCUGGGAGUGUCCACUCAGGUAGAGACUGGAAGUGGAAACUCAUCUUAAAGAGCAGAGGAAAGCCCACCUACACAAAGGAUCCAGGGAGUUCUCCUGUAGCACAGUGGGUUAAGGACCUGGUGUUGUCACUGUAGCAGUGUGGGUCUCUGUUUUGGCUCAGGUUUGAUCCCUGGCCUAGGAACUUCCAUAAGCUGUGAGCAUGACCAAAAAAACUCCAUUUUAUUUAUUUAUUUAUUUUCUUUCUAGGGCCGCACCUGCAGCAUAUGGAGGUUCCCAGGCUAGGGGUC